This 495-nucleotide ribosomal RNA is filed under the name Lepidoblepharon ophthalmolepis. RNAcentral's name for it is "partial 16S ribosomal RNA". It matches the Rfam family "Bacterial large subunit ribosomal RNA", at positions 1963 to 2591 of the family's 2925-position model. Lineage: Eukaryota; Metazoa; Chordata; Actinopteri; Pleuronectiformes; Citharidae. The record is from RNAcentral.
AAUCACUUGUCUUUUAAAUGAAGACCCGUAUGAAUGGCUUAACGAGGGCUUAACUGUCUCCUCUCUCCAGUCAAUGAAACUGAUCUCCCCGUGCAGAAGCGGGGAUAACUACAUAAGACGAGAAGACCCUAUGGAGCUUUAGGCACCAAGACAGACCCUGCUAAUUAUCCUCUGAUAACUGGACCCAAGUGAACACUGCCUUAUGCCUUUGGUUGGGGCGACCAUGGGGUAACAAAUAACCCCCACGCGGAAAAAGAGCUCGCAUCCCACGCUUUCACCACCCACCUCUCAAAACUAAGAGCUACUGCUCUAAGUAACAGAACCUCUGACCGAAAAUGACCCAGCAAUGCUGAUCAACGGACCGAGUUACCCUAGGGAUAACAGCGCAAUCCCCUCCUAGAGUCCAUAUCGACAAGGGGGUUUACGACCUCGAUGUUGGAUCAGGACAUCCUAAUGGUGCAGCCGCUAUUAAGGGUUCGUUUGUUCAACGAUUAA